This 76-nucleotide transfer RNA is filed under the name Dethiosulfatibacter aminovorans DSM 17477. Its description in RNAcentral is "tRNA_Lys_TTT". It matches the Rfam family "tRNA". From Rfam's summary of the family: Transfer RNA (tRNA) molecules are approximately 80 nucleotides in length. Lineage: Bacteria; Bacillati; Bacillota; Tissierellia. The record is from RNAcentral.
GACCCAUUAGCUCAGUCGGUAGAGCAUCUGACUUUUAAUCAGGGUGUCCGGCGUUCGAGUCGCCGAUGGGUCACCA